This 4568-nucleotide long non-coding RNA is filed under the name Mytilus galloprovincialis (Mediterranean mussel). Lineage: Eukaryota; Metazoa; Mollusca; Bivalvia; Mytilida; Mytilidae. The record is from RNAcentral.
AUUACAGAACGGCUUUGUUUAAUGUAGUAAUCUGUCAAUCAAGUGAGUACUGGUAUAUUGAAUUAUUUCAUUUAUAAAUACUUACAAUUCAAUUACUCUAACUGUAGUUGCAAUGAACUAAUACUGCAAUCUCAAUGGCUACGUUAUUUAACAUCAAGUGUUUGCUUUUGUUUCAAUCUCUUUUGUUUAAGUAUUUUGAUUUCUUGAAGGUAAUUAUAGACAACGUGUUGAUUGGUUUAAAACGAUGAUACAAUCACUAAUUAAUCGGUCUAUUGAAUGUCCUCUGUAAUGUCAUCCAAACCAGUGACACUGAAGCGCAUCUUCAAUCACACGAUACAAAUUACGUUCUGUGUAUUCAUUAUUGUGUUUUGCAUACCAGUUUCCAUGGAUUUCGUGGUUACCCGAGAUCCACGAAUUCCCAUAAAACUGUAAAGAUAACAUUAUAUAUUACAUUCCUUAUCGAGGCUCAAUUACACCACUCUUAAUUUUGCCUAUAUUUGACUGCAGUUUCUGGAAUACGGUGCUUCCCAUUUUAACCCUGACAAUCUGCGAGAAAUAAGUUUUGGAAAACCUAACUUCUCCAUUGCUAAAAAUUGAAAUUUUAAAGAAAAUUAGAUGUCAACUUCCUAAGGCAAAGUUGAACAAAUGAAUUUGGUAUUUUUUUUAAUCCCUUUUGGUCACAAAGCUCCUUACGUAUUGAGUUCUUAUACAUCAUAUCAUAAAAAGUAAAAUCACAAAAGUAAUGAACUUAGAGCAAAAUCUAAUCGGAAAGUCCAUAAUCACAUGGCAAAAUCAAAUAACAAAACACAUAAAAAACGAAUGGACAAAAUCUGUCAUAUUUCUGACUUGGUACAGGCAUUUUCAAAUGUAGAAAAUGGUGGAUUAAACCUGGUUUUAUAGCGCUAACCCUCUCACUUUGAUGACAGUCUCAUUAAAUUCCGUUAUAUUUACAAUGAUGCGUGAACUAAACAGACAUAAUAAAUAAAAUAGUCAAAAUAUGGGUACAUCAGUCAUCAUCGUGUAACAAUUUGAAAAGGAACAAUUUAACAGAACACAAAAACAUUUAUCUACAAACACAUUCAUUGAUUCGCGUGUCUGACGUUAGAAAAUUUUAUACGUCACAUAUAUUUGUCGUUCAAUGUGUAUACAAACAAUUUUAUAAUUUCACAUAGGCAAUUUUAGCAUACAGAGUGAAAAAAUCAAAAGUAUGUAAGAAUUAAUUUCAGAAAUAGACCGAGAUUUGAAAUAGUCCAAAAGUUAUAUAAAAUUUAUAAGAAUCCACAAAUAGUUCAGGGCUUUCAAAUGUUUGUAUUUUACCGUUCCUGAUAAAGGAUAAUCCAGAAAAGACUUGGUACGCAAGAAAGUGUUAUUUUCAUUUAGAACGGUUUAUAGUUGUUUUUUUGUUUUUUUUAGAUUAUUCGAAAAUAAUGAAACAUCAGAUUUGCCGAAGUGUCUUGUUAACCUCAAGUUUUUGAGAUAAAAUUAAGCAAGAAAAAAUUAUAUUCUAGUAUUCAUUUUCUGGUUUAAUUUUACAAUACAUUUAGGAUAUUUAUUAUACAGAAAGUUGUUAUUUUCGAGCGUAGUGCUACUGCAACUAAUAUGUAUAGAUUAUUACAUGGCAUUUUUCAUAUCAGACCCUUUAUCGGCCCAAGGUUAUGAUAUCAGCCCAAGAGCCGCAGGCUCGAGGGCUAAUAUCAUGAACGAGGGCCGAUAAAGGGUCUGAUAUGAAAAAUGCCAUGUAAUUAUCUUUUUAUCAUAUACUUCAGCAGAAGAAAAACAGACAAGAACUAUUAAAAUUUAAAAAAAAUCUUAACUUUAAUUGUUUUUAUUGAUAUUACAAGCAUUUUAUUUAUCUUGUCACAACAAUUAUCAUGUUCUUCAAUAAUAUUGUUACCUCAUUUAUGUCUUUCAAAACAUAUGUAACUUAAAUCUGUUUUGCUCCUCAAACAGUUUGUGAAAAGUCUUAUCACUUGCCGUUUUCCGCGUUCUUUUGUCGUUUCAAACAAAUUUCCGGAAAUGCACGAAGUUGCAUGUGAUAAACGUCACGGAAAUUAACGGAAAGGCAUGUAAUAACAUUCCGGAAGCAGUCAAUAAAAGUACCUUUAUCAGCCCGCUAUGGAGUUUCUUAGGAAUCUGGUCAAUAAACUUAGUAAUCCUUUCAUAGCCUUUUGAUAUUUUCAAAUGUUAUUGAACUGUAAAAUUUUAAUAAUAUUUUAUACAAGUAUAUGAUAAAUGCUAUUAUUAGUUGGGUAAAACCAUGUUUGUUUUGCGAGUGGUUAAUUUGACAAAACACGGAAGUCACCAAUAGGAUCAGACAUAAAUAUGUCAUAACGGAAAAAACUAUAAAACAAUUCCCAAAAAAUAUUUAUUUAUAUUUCAUAUCUAUAUUGCAUAUAGUUAUUUAUUUUUAGUACAUAUAGUAGUUAAGAGCAAUUGGUUACAUGUCUGUUAAUCAUAACCUGACUAGUGUAACCGAAUUGACCGAAACACCAUCAAAUUGUUUUUUUUUGCGAGUGGUUAAUUUGAAAAAAAGAUGGAAGUCAUCAUUAGGAUCAGACAUAAAUAUGUCAAAACGGAAAAUACCCUGAAGAAAUUUCCAAAAAAAUAUUUCUUUAUAUUUCAUAUAUUUAUUUCAUAUAGUUAAAACAUAUUUCUUACAUGCUGCAAUUAAGAGCAAUUGGUUCAUGUCUGUUAAUCAUAACAUGACUAGUGUAAGCUAAUUGACCGAAACACCAUCCGAAAUGAAAGGUACUGAAUUCUCGAACUUAAUACCAUAUUCAAUGAUAAUGAUGCUAUGAUUUCAACAUAAACGUUCAAAAGCUGAAAAAAAAACAGGCUGUACAAAUUUUUUUCCCCAAAUAAAGUUUUAAUCGAUAACCAUUCUUUUUGUUUUCAGCAAUGGAAACCUUGGCCAAAUUAUUUAAUGCUGCUGUAAUUAUGCCAUUUACAGCAGGCGAACCAAAUGAAAACAACUAUAGAAAUAACAAUAUUCGGCCUCACGAUGGCAGGAUUAGUGGAUUUAUACUAGUUUCAAGCGUGUUUGUAAUUGUACUUCUUUCUAUGUUAGGAGUUGAAUUUGUUGAUCAUAAAAGUGACAAGAAUUCUAAAUAUAUACCAAUUUACUCCUACCUUUGUAUAGUGAUCUUUCUAGCAAUUAUUGUUUGCGUUGGAACUUUGUUUAUGUAUCGACGUAGACAAACGCAAAUUACAGAAAGAGUCAAACCAACAACUAACGUAAAAUAUAUAUUUUUGUGGAUUUUUACAAUUGGAAGCAUUUUCUUUUCGUUAUCAAAGAUUACCAGCGCUGUUCAAUGUAAAAAGUAUAUAUUCGAGGAAUUUCAAAGAAUAGGUUGUAUCGACAAAAAUAUUACCUACGACCCUAGUUAUGAGAAAUCAUACGUUAGCUUGCAGUCUAUUCAGAUUAUAUUCUGCUUGGUUCAGUCAUUUUUUGUACAAACAUUAAUUUCUUUACGCUUUAAAAGUUCGUGGAAAAUGUACUAAAGUUUGCUGUUAAUAGUCUUAGCAAAUAUUUCCCAAUGGGCACAUUAUUUUUCCGAAAUAUACAUAUAUGAAGGCGGAAGACCGAUGGCGAGUUGUAAUAAAGCUAAUUGUACCAUUUGUAAAUCCGAUGAACUUUUAAGGACGAUACAGCCGUAUUGUGCGCCAAUUAAAAUGGAAUAUUUUCUGCUAUCAAUGAUUUGUAUAGCUGAACUCUGGCCAUCCAAUCACAUUCAUGUUGAUGAGGCAAUUCUGUUAAAGUCAAAUUCCGGAAGUGAAUAUACGCCAUUACUUUUAUCAUCUCAUGAAAGAAUCAACAGACUUGACUUUUACAAUUGUCGAACCUUUUUGUGUAUUGGAUUUGUCAUAUUGACGAUUUUGCCAUGUUUUAUAUUUGGUUUCAUUAAUCUUUCCAAAGAUAUUGAUAAAGGUCAAGAUAUUCAAACUGUCGAUGUAUCAUACGAUAUAUUUUUAUCAUUUUCUAAGACAACCUUACUUAUAAUUAGUUUUUAUAUGAUAUCACAAUCAUCGUCAUUUUUGAAACCUGUUAGGAAAACCCAAUAUCUCCAUUUUCAUCACAAAAUGAUAAUUGCAAGUUUUUUGGGUUCAAUUGCAUAUUGUUCAUUAGUAAUGUUUGCUUGCAUACACGAAAGAAAGGAGUAUUUAAUAAUGAGUCAGAAAUUAAUGACAAUGAUUGAGCUUUACUUUCAAGUUGUUUGUAUUUUACAAUUGAAUACAGUAGUUAUGAAAAGACAAAGCGGAGUCCUAGCGAGUACAUUUAUCUUAUACUCUGUAUUUUCAAUCUCUGCUACUGGUUUGAUGAUAGUGUUUUCGAAGCUAGAUCUAUCUACGACAAGCAAGUAUUACAAAGUGUUUAUAGCAUUACAACACAGAAACUCAUUUCUCAUUGUUUGUUUCCUUUCUUUGUGUUUUUCCGAUUUAAAUCUUUCAUUUCAUUUUAUGAAAUUUUUCGACAAAAUCCAAAAUAACGACAUAUCUCAAUAUCACGUGACCAUUUAUUUAUAAUAAAGAAGUGCUGCACCUGUUACUUAUAAGAACAAAAUGGAGUU